This 380-nucleotide ribosomal RNA is filed under the name uncultured bacterium. RNAcentral's name for it is "bacterial SSU rRNA". It matches the Rfam family "Bacterial small subunit ribosomal RNA", at positions 29 to 410 of the family's 1533-position model. The record is from RNAcentral.
AUUGAACGCUGGCGGCAUGCCUUACACAUGCAAGUCGAACGGCAGCACGGGAGCAAUCCUGGUGGCGAGUGGCGAACGGGUGAGUAAUAUAUCGGAACGUGCCCAGUAGUGGGGGGAUAGCCCGGCGAAAGCCGGAUUAAUACCGCAUACGACCUGUGGGUGAAAGCGGGGGAUCGCAAGACCUCGCGCUAUUGGAGCGGCCGAUAUCAGAUUAGCUUGUUGGUGGGGUAAAAGCCCACCAAGGCGACGAUCUGUAGCUGGUCUGAGAGGACGACCAGCCACACUGGGACUGAGACACGGCCCAGACUCCUACGGAGGCAGCAGUGGGGAAUUUUGGACAAUGGGCGCAAGCCUGAUCCAGCCAUGCCGCGUGUGGGAAG